UACAGAGACUGCAAGCGUUAUUCGGAUUCACUGGGCGUAAAGGGUGCGCAGGUGGCCAAGUGUGUCAGGUGUGAAAUCCCGGAGCUUAACUCCGGAACUGCGCCUGAAACUGCAUGGCUAGAGCAUUGGAGAGGGAAGUGGAAUUCACGGUGUAGCAGUGAAAUGCGUAGAUAUCGUGAGGAACACCAGAGGCGAAAGGCGACUUCCUGGACAAUUGCUGACACUCAGGCACGAAAGCGUGGGUAGCCAAAGGG
RNAcentral lists this ribosomal RNA (254 nucleotides) under uncultured bacterium. RNAcentral's name for it is "partial 16S ribosomal RNA". It matches the Rfam family "Bacterial small subunit ribosomal RNA", at positions 524 to 776 of the family's 1533-position model. The record is from RNAcentral.